RNAcentral lists this ribosomal RNA (497 nucleotides) under uncultured bacterium. RNAcentral's name for it is "partial 16S ribosomal RNA". It matches the Rfam family "Bacterial small subunit ribosomal RNA", at positions 28 to 507 of the family's 1533-position model. The record is from RNAcentral.
GAUGAACGCUGGCGGCGUGCCUAAUACAUGCAAGUCGAGCGAACGGACGAGAAGCUUGCUUCUCUGAUGUUAGCGGCGGACGGGUGAGUAACACAUGGAUAACCUACCUAUAAGACUGGGAUAACUUCGGGAAACCGGAGCUAAUACCGGAUAAUAUUUUGAACCGCUUGGUUCAAAAGUGAAAGACGGUCUUGCUGUCACUUAUAGAUGGAUCCGCGCUGCAUUAGCUAGUUGGUAAGGUAACGGCUUACCAAGGCAACGAUGCAUAGCCGACCUGAGAGGGUGAUCGGCCACACUGGAACUGAGACACGGUCCAGACUCCUACGGGAGGCAGCAGUAGGGAAUCUUCCGCAAUGGGCGAAAGCCUGACGGAGCAACGCCGCGUGAGUGAUGAAGGUCUUCGGAUCGUAAAACUCUGUUAUUAGGGAAGAACAUAUGUGUAAGUAACUGUGCACAUCUUGACGGUACCUAAUCAGAAAGCCACGGCUAACUACGUG